GUGGUAUUGUUGACAUGAACUUGGGUUGCUGUGUAUUUACGCGCACAAUUUGGAAUCAGCUGUUCAAGGUUUUUGGGAUUCUUGUGAGAUGUUUGAAUAAAGGAUGGAAAAAGGAGACACCUAUCAUCCAACGGAUACGACAAUAUCGUUAGGCUGGUCAGCAAAAUAAAAAUCUCCAUCAAACCGUAUUGCCGUCGUAACUACAGUAUCGGAAGGCCACCACCGGACCCCGAUGGAAACUUUUUGGGAAUGAAACCCUUAUGUCAUCGUCUUCAUAUUUCUUGUUUUUUUUUUAGGGGAUGGACCACUCUGCGACCUGUUGUUAGAUCUUUUGUAGCAUUACCCCGCGUUAUUUCUAUUUCUAUAUGCUUCCAAUUACACUGCCACUUUUGAUAAGUGCCAGAUUAACACUGGUUGAGCAGUUAGAUCUUAAGUGCAACCUCACAUUACCUUUGUUCACGCAGAUCCUAAGUGCAAUGUAUGUUCCAUUGAAAGAUCUAUCCAUAUCUAUGCACUCAAGCGUAAAAAGUUCCAGAAGUGACAGCUAGCAUGCUUAAACCUCCAGCCUCCAGAGGAAAUACU
This is a long non-coding RNA of Uranotaenia lowii, 582 nucleotides long. RefSeq lists it as uncharacterized. NCBI's taxonomy places the organism in Eukaryota, Metazoa, Arthropoda, Insecta, Diptera, Culicidae. The record is from RefSeq and is a predicted model, not a curated record. The transcript is spliced from 3 exons.